AGAAAAAAAAAAGGGAUCGCCCAGCUAAACCCUAAACUAUUAGUCGUCCUCUACUCGGCAGACACUACUCUAUCUAUUCUACCAUGGAGUUUGCGACUCUCACCGCAGUCACUUCAUCGCCAUAAUAAGGCUACAACCUCCAGUUUACCACCUUCUUGGUCUUCUUAUUCUUCUUCACUCUUCAAAUCAAAGAGAAAAAUGAAUUUUUAAAGAACCAUCUCAAUUUCUCAACUGAAUUAUGACUGCAGGGUUCUAAAAUGGAUGAAUCUUUUCAAUCAUGUGCGAACCUGCUAGAUGUUACCGGAGGAUUAAGAACAAACCAUAUUCUAGGUACUGUCGUGGUGUACCUGACACCAAUGAUUAGAGGGAUGAAAAGGGAAGGAGUUGAUGAGUUCCCCUUCUAUGUCCACUUUGUGAGUUGGGAGAAGGAAAAUAUCUCCACUGAGUCUUUGAAGGCUGCCCGUAUCACCUGCAACAACUACAUGGCCAAGUCUACAGAGAAGGAUGUUUUCCAUUUCAGAGUCAGGUGUUGGUGCAUAUGUUUAAUCCCUAAUCUCCACUUUGAUAUUCAGGUGAAUGCUUUUGCCAUUUAUACUUGAUUAAUUAUAGAUUGGGUGGUGUUGGUGGUGAUACGUGCAUAAGUUGGUAGAUAUUUUUGAAUCCCCAGCGGUUUCUUGCAGUGGUGUUGGUGGUUGGUGAUAUUUUUCUUAUCAUUGUUUGAUAAUGAAGAUAGUGCUUCUGCAACUGUUGGUGUUACGGGUGGUUGUUAGUGUUUCAGAUGUUGACCGUGUACAAGGAUUUAGGUGCGGUGGUGAUAGUUUUGAUCCAUGGACAAAAACCAAGAGAAAAUUCAGUCGAAGUCUAAGCAAGGAAAGCAAGUAGCAAAACAAAAGAAGAACGAGGAAUAUACGUGAAGCAUUUUAUAAACAUACCCAUGGUCAUUAUGGAUCUCGUUCUGGCCAGAGAAGAAAAAUCUGAGCUUGACGCCAAUGGAAUGAGUCUAGUUCCUUAGUUAUGCUGUCAUUGGACCGGUGUGCUUCUUGUAUCUAGAAAUUACAAAUUUUGUUUGUUUGCCCUUUCCUCUCUAACAAACUGAGAGUUUGACUGCGAGACUGAUGAAAUCAUGGAUCCAAGUGAUUUGUUAUGUGAUAUAGAUGGAGUACUUGGAGAUGUUUCAAGAGUUUAGUACUUGGAGAUGUUUCAAGAGUUUAUGUAGACGAGAUAGUACUUGGAGAUGUUUCAGGAGCUCAUGUAAGAGAACGGCCAACUGAGAGUUUGAUUUGAUUUUAAAGUUUUUAAAGUUUAAUAUGUAAUUUUGGAUUACUAUUUUUUUUUUUUAAAUUGUGUUCAUCGAUUCUAUUUUUAUGAAUGUUGUUUUAGUAAUUAAUGAAAAGUUUAUUUUCAA
RNA transcript from Papaver somniferum (opium poppy), 1405 nucleotides. RefSeq lists it as uncharacterized. The record is from RefSeq and is a predicted model, not a curated record. NCBI's taxonomy places the organism in Eukaryota, Viridiplantae, Streptophyta, Magnoliopsida, Ranunculales, Papaveraceae. The transcript has 6 exons.